This 235-nucleotide unclassified non-coding RNA is filed under the name Glomus sp. RNAcentral describes it as "partial contains 5.8S ribosomal RNA and internal transcribed spacer 2". The stretch from base 1 to 71 matches the Rfam family "5.8S ribosomal RNA", at positions 84 to 154 of the family's 154-position model. Lineage: Eukaryota; Fungi; Glomeromycota; Glomeromycetes; Glomerales; Glomeraceae. The record is from RNAcentral.
GUGAAUCAUCAAAUUUUUGAACGCAAAUUGCACUCUCUGGUAUUCCGGAAAGUAUGCCUGUUUGAGGGUCAGUUAAAUAAAAAUCGGUGUUGUUGCUGCUUUUCGUGUUGAGGGGUGGGAAUUGAGUGGCUUUACUUCGGGUAAAGGACUUUAAAUUUUGGAAUGAUUUCCGAACGUAUUUAAAUUUCUUACGAAGGUUGGAGAUUUGGAAUACUUUAUUAGGUUGGGUAACCUU